This 468-nucleotide ribosomal RNA is filed under the name uncultured bacterium. Its description in RNAcentral is "partial 16S ribosomal RNA". It matches the Rfam family "Bacterial small subunit ribosomal RNA", at positions 28 to 507 of the family's 1533-position model. The record is from RNAcentral.
GACGAACGCUGGCGGCGUGCUUAACACAUGCAAGUCGAACGGAAAGGCCCUGCUUUUGUGGGGUGCUCGAGUGGCGAACGGGUGAGUAACACGUGAGUAACCUGCCCUUGACUUUGGGAUAACUUCAGGAAACUGGGGCUAAUACCGGAUAGGAGCUCCUGCUGCAUGGUGGGGGUUGGAAAGUUUCGGCGGCUGGGGAUGGACUCGCGGCUUAUCAGCUUGUUGGUGGGGUAGUGGCUUACCAAGGCUUUGACGGGUAGCCGGCCUGAGAGGGUGACCGGCCACAUUGGGACUGAGAUACGGCCCAGACUCCUACGGGAGGCAGCAGUGGGGAAUAUUGCACAAUGGGCGGAGGCCUGAUGCAGCAACGCCGCGUGCGGGAUGACGGCCUUCGGGUUGUAAACCGCUUUCACCUGUGACGAAGCGUGAGUGACGGUAAUGGGUAAAGAAGCACCGGCUAACUACGUG